Molecule: small RNA, 799 nt
Filed under: uncultured Trichosporon
Lineage: Eukaryota; Fungi; Basidiomycota; Tremellomycetes
Description: eukaryotic LSU rRNA
Rfam family: Eukaryotic large subunit ribosomal RNA (bases 514-799)
Source: RNAcentral
CUUGGUCAUUUAGAGGAAGUAAAAGUCGUAACAAGGUUUCCGUAGGUGAACCUGCGGAAGGAUCAUUAGUGAUUGCCAUCUUGGCUUAAACUAUAUCCAUCUACACCUGUGAACCGUUUGAUUGAAUCUUCUGAUUCAAUUUUACAAACAUUGUGUAAUGAACGUCAUUAGAUCAUAACAAAAAAAAACUUUUAACAACGGAUCUCUUGGCUCUCGCAUCGAUGAAGAACGCAGCGAAAUGCGAUAAGUAAUGUGAAUUGCAGAAUUCAGUGAAUCAUCGAAUCUUUGAACGCAACUUGCGCUCUCUGGUAUUCCGGAGAGCAUGCCUGUUUGAGUGUCAUGAAAUCUCAACCAUUAGGGUUUCUUAAUGGCUUGGAUUUGGAGGUUGCCAUUCUAAAUGGCUCCUCUUAAAGGAGUUAGCAAGUUUUACUAUUGCUAUCUGGCGUAAUAAGUUUCGCUGGAAUGGUAUUGUGAAGCGUGCUUCUAAUCGUCUUCGGACAAUUACUUUGACUCUGGCCUCAAAUCAGGUAGGACUACCCGCUGAACUUAAGCAUAUCAAUAAGCGGAGGAAAAGAAACUAACAAGGAUUCCCUUAGUAACGGCGAGUGAACCGGGAAGAGCUCAAAUUUGUAAUCUGGCUGUCUUCGAUAGUCCGAGUUGUAAUCUAUAGAAGCGUUUUCCGUGCUGAACUGUGUAUAAGUCCCUUGGAACAGGGUAUCAAAGAGGGUGACAAUCCCGUACUUUACACAAUCAUCAGUGCUCUGUGAUACGUUCUCUACGAGUCGAGUUGUUUGGGAAU